Anas platyrhynchos (mallard) is the source of this 571-nucleotide non-coding RNA. NCBI's taxonomy places the organism in Eukaryota, Metazoa, Chordata, Aves, Anseriformes, Anatidae. The record is from RefSeq and is a predicted model, not a curated record.
UGGGACUACCUGCCCCGUGCUGCCCAGAACUGAGUAAACAUACCUACUUUACAAUCUUGCUGAUUGUGGAGUCAGCUUUCUGUGAGUCAUUUUGGUGAGCCAGGCAGGAGCCGCUCUGCUUGGCUGCGGGAUUGGCUGCGGAGCAGACGCCCCUAGGUGUACCCUGAGUGUUUUGCUCGGAGGGGACUCCACUCUCAGCUGCUCACCGCAGGAGCAAAGACCUCCUGAAGUUGUGGACAAACGGAACCUUGUGGUGGGCAGAGCAUGUGCAGAAGAAGAGGGAGACGCUCGAAGCCGCUCCUGCAGUCUGGAACAAAAGGUUGCUAAUGGUGAUGGGGAAACCAUGAGCCUUUCACCCACAACGACCACCACAAAGGGAAUAUAAUAUGAAGCGGGGAUAGGAUAUCCAUAUGUAUAGGCGUACUCGGGUUUCUUGUAAAUAUGUAACAGCAAUGUCCUAUACAUAUUUGGAAAGUUUGACGUUUGCGUGUGCGUGUUGGUAGAGCAUAGACUCCCCGCAUGCCCAGUGCUGUUUACUCGCCUUUUAUAAAUAUUCUUUUAUGUUACUAAA